This 264-nucleotide long non-coding RNA is filed under the name Panax ginseng (ginseng). RNAcentral's name for it is "long non-coding RNA (PGIN_LNC000838)". The record is from RNAcentral. Lineage: Eukaryota; Viridiplantae; Streptophyta; Magnoliopsida; Apiales; Araliaceae.
CCCAGCAAGUUUAAAUACAAUUUAAGGAUAUAUCAUGAUUGAAAGAGUCUGAAUAAUAGGCUGGCUAUAAUUCAUCAAUAUAAUUGAGAACUAGCACGAACAAACUUUUGACUGAACAAGUAUUGAACAUGAACAAAUAUAUCUGGACCAACUGGUAAUGAAGGUGAUCAGCCUUUCAUACCUGACUUAUACAUGCAAUAUGUAUAGAGUACAAUUCCACAUGGCAAUCAGCAAUGAUUAACCAUAAGCAUAUCUGAAUAAAAC